RNAcentral lists this ribosomal RNA (252 nucleotides) under uncultured bacterium. RNAcentral describes it as "partial 16S ribosomal RNA". It matches the Rfam family "Bacterial small subunit ribosomal RNA", at positions 524 to 776 of the family's 1533-position model. The record is from RNAcentral.
UACGUAGGGGGCAAGCGUUGUCCGGAAUUAUUGGGCGUAAAGCGCGCGCAGGCGGCAAGGUAAGUCUGGUGUUUAAACUUGGGGCUCAACCCCAAGACGCAUUGGAAACUGCUUGGCUGGAGUACAGAAGAGGCGAGUGGAAUUCCAGGUGUAGCGGUGGAAUGCGCAGAUAUCAGGAGGAACACCAAUGGCGAAGGCAGAUCUCUGGGCCGUAACUGACGCUGAGGAGCGAAAGCAUGGGGAGCGAACAGG